This 496-nucleotide ribosomal RNA is filed under the name uncultured bacterium. RNAcentral's name for it is "partial 16S ribosomal RNA". It matches the Rfam family "Bacterial small subunit ribosomal RNA", at positions 29 to 507 of the family's 1533-position model. The record is from RNAcentral.
AUGAACGCUGGCGGCGUGCCUAAUACAUGCAAGUCGAGCGAACGGACGAGAAGCUUGCCUCUCUGAUGUUAGCGGCGGACGGGUGAGUAACACGUGGAUAACCUACCUAUAAGACUGGGAUAACUUCGGGAAACCGGAGCUAAUACCGGAUAAUAUUUUGAACCGCAUGGUUCAAAAGUGAAAGACGGUCUUGCUGUCACUUAUAGAUGGAUCCGCGCUGCAUUAGCUAGUUGGUAAGGUAACGGCUUACCAAGGCAACGAUGCAUAGCCGACCUGAGAGGGUGAUCGGCCACACUGGAACUGAGACACGGUCCAGACUCCUACGGGAGGCAGCAGUAGGGAAUCUUCCGCAAUGGGCGAAAGCCUGACGGAGCAACGCCGCGUGAGUGAUGAAGGUCUUCGGAUCGUAAAACUCUGUUAUUAGGGAAGAACAUAUGUGUAAGUAACUGUGCACAUCUUGACGGUACCUAAUCAGAAAGCCACGGCUAACUACGUG